UUCAAACUAGGGAUAGAUACCCUACUAUGCCUAGCCUUAAACUUUGAUAGUAAGACCUACUAUCCGCCAGAGAAUUACGAGCGAAAAGCUUAAAACUCAAAAGACUUGACGGUGCCCCAAACCAACCUAGAGGAGCCUGUCCUAUAAUCGAUGACCCGCGCUUUACCCCACCUGCCCUCGCACAAAUCAGCCAGCCUAUAUACCGCCGCCUUCCAGCCUACCUUACAAAAGUAACACAGCAAGCAAAAUAGCCCCUCCGCUAAAACGUCAGGUCAAGGUGUAGCUAAUGGGCAGGAAAGAGAUGGGCUACAUUCUCUACGCACAUAGACCACCACCCCCGGUAUCAUGAAAACAUACCUCAAAGGAGGAUUUAGUAGUAAUUUAGGCAAGACUUCCUAAAUGAAUCCUGCUCUGGGGCGCGUACACACCGCCC
RNAcentral lists this ribosomal RNA (433 nucleotides) under Trachydactylus hajarensis. Its description in RNAcentral is "partial small subunit ribosomal RNA". It matches the Rfam family "Bacterial small subunit ribosomal RNA", at positions 766 to 1395 of the family's 1533-position model. Lineage: Eukaryota; Metazoa; Chordata; Lepidosauria; Squamata; Gekkonidae. The record is from RNAcentral.